RNAcentral lists this ribosomal RNA (388 nucleotides) under uncultured bacterium. RNAcentral describes it as "bacterial SSU rRNA". It matches the Rfam family "Bacterial small subunit ribosomal RNA", at positions 28 to 417 of the family's 1533-position model. The record is from RNAcentral.
GACGAACGCUGGCGGCGUGCUUAACACAUGCAAGUCGAGCGGUAAGGCCCUUUCGGGGGUACACGAGCGGCGAACGGGUGAGUAACACGUGGGUGACCUGCCCUCAGCUCUGGGAUAAGCCUGGGAAACCGGGUCUAAUACCGGAUAUGACUCCAUGACGCAUGUUGUGGGGUGGAAAGCCUUGUGCGGCUGAGGAUGGGCCCGCGGCCUAUCAGCUUGUUGGUGGGGUGAUGGCCUACCAAGGCGACGACGGGUAGCCGGCCUGAGAGGGCGACCGGCCACACUGGGACUGAGACACGGCCCAGACUCCUACGGGAGGCAGCAGUCGGGAAUCUUGGGCAAUGGGCGAAAGCCUGACCCAGCAACGCCGCGUGAGGGAUGACGGCCU